This 506-nucleotide long non-coding RNA is filed under the name Brassica rapa (field mustard). RNAcentral's name for it is "long non-coding RNA (BRAP_LNC006322)". The record is from RNAcentral. Lineage: Eukaryota; Viridiplantae; Streptophyta; Magnoliopsida; Brassicales; Brassicaceae.
AGGAAUGAUGGGUAGUGAAGGAGGGUCAAGAGAGGCAGUGAAGGGAUUGGAAGUGGUGGUAGAGGGGGGGGGGGGAUAAGAUUGGUGAGGAUCGAGAUCGUUUUAACGGUGGCCUGGUUGGAUGAUUUGGGGUGGAGAAAAUCUCAGAACUAGUCGAGGGAAAGGCAGGAAGAGAGGGUAGAGGGAGAAAGUUAAGGUCAUGGGGUUCAGGUGAUUUCAGAAGAUGAGAUUUUUGAGAGGUGAGGGGGAUAUGUUUAGUAACUGAUAGAGAAGGGUCUCUGGUGAGGGGUUGAUAUUUUUUCUGGUUUUUUCGAGAGGCUUUUGAUGGGGUGAAAGUAGACUGGGUGGGAUUGUCCUUUCUAGAGCUAUCUUUGCUCGUGGAAGGGUCUUUUUGUUUAGUGGGUGAGGCAGUUUCUUUUGUUGGUGCAGGAGGAGUGUAGGUGAGGCAAUUACGCGUGAUGCGUGCCCAAGCUCAUGGCAGUGGGCGCAAGUUGGAGGGACCCAUG